AGAGUUUGAUCCUGGCUCAGGAUGAACGCUGGCGGCGUGCUUAACACAUGCAAGUCGAACGAACCUUCGGGUUAGUGGCGGACGGGUGAGUAACGCGUGGGAAUCUGCCCUCAGGAGGGGGAUAACGGCUGGAAACGGCCGCUAAUACCCCAUAUGCCGCGAGGUGAAAUGAAUUUCGCCUGAGGAUGAGCCCGCGUCUGAUUAGCUAGUUGGUGGGGUAAAGGCCUACCAAGGCGACGAUCAGUAGCUGGUCUGAGAGGAUGAUCAGCCACACUGGGACUGAGACACGGCCCAGACUCCUACGGGAGGCAGCAGUGGGGAAUUUUCCGCAAUGGGCGAAAGCCUGACGGAGCAACGCCGCGUGAGGGAUGAAGGCCUCUGGGCUGUAAACCUCUUUUCUCAAGGAAGAAGACCUGACGGUACUUGAGGAAUAAGCCACGGCUAAUUCCGUGCCAGCAGCCGCGGUAAUACGGGAGUGGCAAGCGUUAUCCGGAAUUAUUGGGCGUAAAGCGUCCGCAGGCGGCCUUGUAAGUCUGUCGUUAAAGCGUGGAGCUUAACUCCAUUUCGGCGAUGGAAACUACAAGGCUUGAGUGUGGUAGGGGCAGAGGGAAUUCCCGGUGUAGCGGUGAAAUGCGUAGAUAUCGGGAAGAACACCAGUGGCGAAGGCGCUCUGCUGGGCCAUAACUGACGCUCAUGGACGAAAGCCAGGGGAGCGAAAGGGAUUAGAUACCCCUGUAGUCCUGGCCGUAAACGAUGAACACUAGGUGUCGGGGGAAUCGACCCCCUCGGUGUCGUAGCCAACGCGUUAAGUGUUCCGCCUGGGGAGUACGCACGCAAGUGUGAAACUCAAAGGAAUUGACGGGGGCCCGCACAAGCGGUGGAGUAUGUGGUUUAAUUCGAUGCAACGCGAAGAACCUUACCAGGGUUUGACAUCCUGCGAACCCCUGAGAAAUCGGGGGGUGCCUUCGGGAGCGCAGAGACAGGUGGUGCAUGGCUGUCGUCAGCUCGUGUCGUGAGAUGUUGGGUUAAGUCCCGCAACGAGCGCAACCCACGUCGUUAGUUGCCAGCAUUCAGUUGGGCACUCUAGCGAGACCGCCGGUGAUAAACCGGAGGAAGGUGUGGAUGACGUCAAGUCAUCAUGCCCCUUACAUCCUGGGCUACACACGUACUACAAUGCUACGGACAAAGGGCAGCAAGCUCGCGAGAGUAAGCAAAUCCCAUAAACCGUGGCUCAGUUCAGAUCGUAGGCUGCAACUCGCCUACGUGAAGGAGGAAUCGCUAGUAAUCGCAGGUCAGCAUACUGCGGUGAAUACGUUCCCGGGCCUUGUACACACCGCCCGUCACACCAUGGAAGUUGGCCAUGCCCGAAGUCGUUACUCCAACCCUUGUGGAGGAGGACGCCGAAGGUGGGUCUCAUGACUGGGGUGAAGUCGUAACAAGGUAACCGUA
RNAcentral lists this ribosomal RNA (1449 nucleotides) under uncultured bacterium. RNAcentral's name for it is "16S ribosomal RNA". It matches the Rfam family "Bacterial small subunit ribosomal RNA". The record is from RNAcentral.